This 253-nucleotide ribosomal RNA is filed under the name uncultured bacterium. RNAcentral describes it as "partial 16S ribosomal RNA". It matches the Rfam family "Bacterial small subunit ribosomal RNA", at positions 524 to 776 of the family's 1533-position model. The record is from RNAcentral.
UACGUAGGUGGCAAGCGUUGUCCGGAUUUAUUGGGUUUAAAGGGUGCGUAGGCGGUCUAUUAAGUCAGUUGUGAAAUACGGCAGCUCAACUGUCGAGGUGCAAUUGAUACUGAUGGACUUGAGUACUGAUGAGGUAAGCGGAAUGGACGGUGUAGCGGUGAAAUGCUUAGAUAUCGUCCAGAACACCGGUGGCGAAGGCGGCUCUCUGGACCGUAACUGACGCUGAGGCGCGAAAGCGUGGGGAGCAAACAGG